GGGCGGCCAGCCUAUACAUGCAGUCGAACGCGCAGCGAAAGGUGUUUGCACCUUUCAAGCGAGUGGCGAACGGGUGAGUAACACGUGGAUAACCUGCCUCAAGGCUGGGGAUAACAUUUGGAAACAGAUGCUAAUACCGAAUAAAACUUAGUAUCGCAUGAUACAAAGUUGAAAGGCGCUACGGCGUCACCUAGAGAUGGGUCCGCGGUGCAUUAGUUAGUUGGUGGGGUAAAGGCCUACCAAGACAAUGAUGCAUAGCCGAGUUGAGAGACUGAUCGGCCACAUUGGGACUGAGACACGGCCCAAACUCCUACGGGAGGCUGCAGUAGGGAAUCUUCCACAAUGGGCGAAAGCCUGAUGGAGCAACGCCGCGUGUGUGAUGAAGGCUUUAGGGUCGUAAAGCACUGUUGUAUGGGAAGAAAUGCUAGAAUAGGGAAUGAUUCUAGUUCGACGGUACCAUACCAGAAAGGGACGGCUAAAUACGUGCCAGCAGCCGCGGUAAUACGUAUGUCCCGAGCGUUAUCCGGAUUUAUUGGGCGUAAAGCGAGCGCAGACGGUUGAUUAAGUCUGAUGUGAAAGCCCGGAGCUCAACUCCGGAAUGGCAUUGGAAACUGGUUAACUUGAGUGUUGUAGAGGUAAGUGGAACUCCAUGUGUAGCGGUGGAAUGCGUAGAUAUAUGGAAGAACACCAGUGGCGAAGGCGGCUUACUGGACAACAACUGACGUUGAGGCUCGAAAGUGUGGGUAGCAAACAGGAUUAGAUACCCUGGUAGUCCACACCGUAAACGAUGAAUACUAGGUGUUAGGAGGUUUCCGCCUCUUAGUGCCGAAGCUAACGCAUUAAGUAUUCCGCCUGGGGAGUACGACCGCAAGGUUGAAACUCAAAGGAAUUGACGGGGACCCGCACAAGCGGUGGAGCAUGUGGUUUAAUUCGAAGCAACGCGAAGAACCUUACCAGGUCUUGACAUCCUUUGAAGCUUCUAGAGAUAGAAGUGUUCUCUUCGGAGACAAAGUGACAGGUGGUGCAUGGUCGUCGUCAGCUCGUGUCGUGAGAUGUUGGGUUAAGUCCCGCACGAGCGCAACCCUUAUUGUUAGUUGCCAGCAUUCAGUUGGGCCUCUAGCGAGACUGCCGGUGACAAACCGGAGGAAGGGGGGGACAAAUCCAAAUAUCAUGCCCCUUUUAACUGGGGUACACCGGGUUCAAGGGGGUAACAACAAAUUGCCACCCGCGCGGG
This 1234-nucleotide ribosomal RNA is filed under the name Leuconostoc lactis. Its description in RNAcentral is "bacterial SSU rRNA". It matches the Rfam family "Bacterial small subunit ribosomal RNA", at positions 37 to 1263 of the family's 1533-position model. The record is from RNAcentral. Lineage: Bacteria; Bacillati; Bacillota; Bacilli; Lactobacillales; Lactobacillaceae.